AAUUGAAAGUCCCAUCUGUUACCAAACUCCCAUAUUUAAAGCUCCAAAAAGUCCUUCCAUCAGUGGUUUCUUGUUCCUCAAGAAUAAGGGCAAACAAGUCAUUUCAUAUGUUUUAUCAAACCCUACUAUUGCACUACUCUUUUUUUUUUCCCUAUAUAAGGGAUCUCUUUGCUUUUGCCCUUGUGCUUCCUCAUUAUGGAGGAAAGGGAGGGGGAUUGGAAGGAGGUUUAUGAAGAAGUUUUGUUUGGUGAAGAUUUUAUUUUGUGGGAUUAUACUGGAUAUGUUAUUGUUAUAAAGAGUACAUAAUUUUAUUUGUGAUUAUAUUGAAUAUAUUAUUGUUAUGGAGAAUAUAUAAAAAUAGAUCUAGAUCUAUUUGAAGUCAAUUGACACUAUUUUAUUUAAUUGCUGUGGAGUGCUAGAUCUAUUUCUUUGCAUAAGAAGUACUAAUUGAGAGAUUUGAAUGAAAACACAAAAGGAUGAGAGAUCAAAGAAACAUGGGUUUGGAAGAAUUGGGAGGACUUAUUCUUUCAUGUUUUGCUCGAAGAUAAUGUUGAGGUUUACACAUCAAGUACAAACGUGAUUUUGUUUUGAUAGAAGUUUACACACAAUUCAACUAUGGAUUGAGACGUAUCUUUUGAAGAUGGUCACCAUGACUCAAAUCGUGGUUGCUGCAGAUUCAUUUUUAUUGAGAAAGACAUGCAAUAAUGGUGAAGAGGGCCUAAGCUGCAAGAAAUGUGACCUAACUGCUACUCUGCUGCUUAAGAAAACUGUUUGUACUGCUAUUCUCUAAACUAUCACAGGACCAAUACAAGUCAGUAAGAAAUGGAGGCUAGGCUUAUCGCCAGAUUAAAAUGACGCAUUUUGAUAUGGUACCUCUAGUUUGUCUUCUCUGGCCUUGUGGCCUUUCGGCAAUUUCCUGAACUCAUCUGUGAGAUUGAAGCAUUCUCGAAUGUUUUCAGGAGAAACAAAAUCAGCCGCAACUUUUGUACAUGACUGGAAAGAUGAAAAAAGUUGGUUACUGGAUGAACUUGAUCAUCUGGAUUUUCAUGGAAAAUAUAAGUAUGAUUCUUUACCUUGAGAUUACGCACUUGGUGAGGGCAUCCUGCUGGAAUGAAAACUGCCUCUCCAAGUCUUUGCUCAAACGUCCAAGGUUCAACCCCUAUUAAACAUCCACAUUUUGAAUUUAAUAAGUAAAAUGUUCUUUUCUGGUUCUAAAGGAAAGAUAGAGAACAAGGUAAAUUACUAACCAUAUUCUUCCUUCAGUUUUCUCUUGUGCUCCAAAGUUAAGUAGAAGAUUUGGUCAUGGAUUGGGUGAAAAACCUCAUCAACGGGAUAACAGUAAGUGUGCCUAAAUUCCUUUGCGUGCUUUAAAAGAUAGUCCUUCAACUUGGGUACGUCUUCCCUUCUAAAGAUGUCCCACAAGGCACCUCCAGUCGUCUCUGAAUCAUCUGAUGUUUUCUCCUCCCUUCCGAUAUCACUAGACAUCUUCAUAGGAAAUUCAUUGCCCUCACGCUCGAGACGUUCUCUUUCAUCUUGAGCUCUAUGCCUCUGUUUCAGUAUUUCAAUUGCAGACUGCUGCUCAUCAGUUACAGCCACCUCUGCUGUGUGUGUCAAAAUAUUUAUCUGAGCAAUUCAAAAUUUCGAAAACAUUAGCUUGUGAUCAAAUAAGCAUGAAAAAGUAAGCUGCAAUCUUAGCAGGUAACGCAUCAAGGACGGAACGCAAAAAAUGGGAAAAGUGAUAAACUGCUACCAAGAUGAGAUGAAUCAUAAAACUAGAUUGUAGCAUGUGGAUUAGUUUACCUGAAAUGUGAGAAUUGUCAAACUUAUCGUAUAGGACUAGCCAUGAGGUUUAUGAGCCUCAUGUAAACAACACAAGGAAUGUGCUAUAUUUUCGAAAAAUGCCAGCUUUUGCUGCCCUUUUGGUAUUUUCAUACAAUUGAGUAUAAACCAGGUCUAUUCAGAAGUCAACAUACAUAUUAAGGGGGUGGCAUUGACAUGAAAAUGAAGUGAAGUGGUCAAAUGAACAAACUAAAUUGUGAUUUCAAGUAUAAACCAGGUCUAUUCAGAAGUCAACAUACAUAUUAAGGGGGUGGCAUUGACAUGAAAAUGAAGUGAAGUCGUCAAAUGAACAAACUACAAUAGUCCUGUUGAAAUCAUACCGCAUCGGAC
This is a long non-coding RNA of Capsicum annuum, 2169 nucleotides long. RefSeq lists it as uncharacterized. NCBI's taxonomy places the organism in Eukaryota, Viridiplantae, Streptophyta, Magnoliopsida, Solanales, Solanaceae. The transcript has 5 exons. The record is from RefSeq and is a predicted model, not a curated record.